UAUGUGAUCGUCUCUCGCAUAUCAAUAAGCGGAGGAAAAGAAACUAACAAGGAUUCCCCUAGUAACGGCGAGUGAAGCGGGAAGAGCUCAAAUUUGAAAUCUUAAAGGGUUUCCCUUUACGAAUUGUAGUUUAAAGAAGUGUUUUCUGUUGAGGUUUUGGUAAAAGUUCUUUGGAAUAGGACAUCAUAGAGGGUGAGAAUCCCGUAUUUGACCUUUACUUUCAACUUUGUGAUACACUUUCAAAGAGUCGGAUUGUUUGGGAAUGCAGUCCAAAAUGGGUGGUAAAUUUCAUCUAAAGCUAAAUAUUGGCGAGAGACCGAUAGCGAACAAGUACCGUGAGGGAAAGAUGAAAAGAACUUUGAAAAGAGAGUUAAACAGUACGUGAAAUUGUCAAAAGGGAAGCGUUUGACACCAGUGUUGUUUUUCUGAAAAUCAAUUAAAGAACUGUUUAUGCUAAGCUGUUUAGACUUUAUCAGCUAACUGUUUAGUUCCGAGCUUUUCUUUAAUGCACUUUUCAGUUAACAAGUCAACAUCAAUUUCUUUUGCUGUAAAAAAGCUUGAGGAAGGUGGCUUGAGAUUCGUCUUAAGUGUUUAUAGCCUCUUGCCUAUGCAGUCGGAGAGAUUGAGGUCUGCAGCGUAGAUCCUUCGGGGCUAAAUGCAUUUGUGCUAAGUUAUAGCAUUUUAUAGACAACUUGUUGACUAUGAUUUGUCUUGUAGCUUACUCGCUUAUGUUAUUUUACCUACGCUUAGGAUGUUGAACGCGCACAGAGUCUC
RNAcentral lists this ribosomal RNA (774 nucleotides) under uncultured Neocallimastigales. RNAcentral describes it as "partial large subunit ribosomal RNA". It matches the Rfam family "Eukaryotic large subunit ribosomal RNA", at positions 24 to 641 of the family's 3401-position model. The record is from RNAcentral. Lineage: Eukaryota; Fungi; Neocallimastigomycota; Neocallimastigomycetes; Neocallimastigales.